UUCCGUAGGUGAACCUGCGGAAGGAUCAUUACCGAGUCCAGGCGGACGGCGCCCCGGCGUCGCCCGCCCACCUCACCACCCGUGUCUACACUACCACGUUGCUUCGGCGGUUCCCGCGGGACCGCGGCCGCCGGAGACCCCCCGAACUCUGCCUGGAAGGUUGCCGUCUGAGCGAUGAAAACAAACCAGCAAAACUUUCAACAACGGAUCUCUUGGUUCCGGCAUCGAUGAAGAACGCAGCGAAAUGCGAUAAGUAAUGUGAAUUGCAGAAUUCAGUGAAUCAUCGAAUCUUUGAACGCACAUUGCGCCCCCUGGUAUUCCGGGGGGCAUGCCUGUCCGAGCGUCAUUACUGCCCUCAAGCGCGGCUUGUGUGUUGGGCCCUCGCCCCCCUCCGGGGAGGGCGUGCCCGAAAGGCAGUGGCGGCGCCGUGCCCGGUCCUCGAGCGUAUGGGGCUUCGUCACCCGCUCUGGAGGCCCGGCCGGCCGACCGCCGACCCAACCC
RNAcentral lists this ribosomal RNA (501 nucleotides) under uncultured organism. RNAcentral describes it as "eukaryotic LSU rRNA". The stretch from base 193 to 346 matches the Rfam family "5.8S ribosomal RNA". The record is from RNAcentral.